AACGUAGGAGACAAACGUUAUCCGGAGUUACUGGGCGUAAAGGGCGUGCAGGUGGUCUGUUAAGUCUGGCGUGAAAGCUCUCGGCUAAACCGGGAGAGGUCGUUGGAUACUGGCGGACUAGAGGACGGUAGAGGUGUGUGGAAUUCCGGGUGUAGUGGUGAAAUGCGUAGAGAUCCGGAGGAACACCAGUGGCGAAGGCGACACACUGGGCCGUACCUGACACUGAGGCGCGACAGCGUGGGGAGCAAACAGG
RNAcentral lists this ribosomal RNA (253 nucleotides) under uncultured bacterium. Its description in RNAcentral is "partial 16S ribosomal RNA". It matches the Rfam family "Bacterial small subunit ribosomal RNA", at positions 524 to 776 of the family's 1533-position model. The record is from RNAcentral.